Molecule: long non-coding RNA, 4638 nt
Filed under: Canis lupus familiaris (dog)
Lineage: Eukaryota; Metazoa; Chordata; Mammalia; Carnivora; Canidae
Description: lncRNA (ENSCAFG00000054550.1)
Source: RNAcentral
AAAUAGAUUACUGAAGACAAUACUCAAGAAAGGAAACUAUUCUUGAGGCCUGAUAAAUCUUUUUUUUUUUUUUUGAGGCCUGAUAAAUCUUAAACACAGAGUAGGAUCGACAUAUCUAUUAUCUCCAGGGCAGGUUUAGCUGAGAUCUUAGCAGAGGCUGAAAAUGGAGCUGGUUCUUUAUCCAUGUCAUUCUGUUUGGGGAUGUAAAACAUGCACUUAAAAUUAAUUAAAGAAGUUUAGUGAAAUAUAUCUUGCUUAAAUUGUGCAAAAUCAGAAUUCAUAGCAUUGUUCGCAGCUUUUACCAAUAGAAGAACUUUGAUUAUUUCUUCCUUUAAAGAUACAGAGCCCCCAAAAGUUCGGUUUCAUUCUGCCCAUAUGUUUUGCAAUUAGAUGAGAUAAAAUUGCUUUUAUACUGGUAAUAUAACAGCUGUUCUAUAUGAUAUGCUUGCCAGGGAGACAGCUCAGCUCUGAAAGGAGGGGAAAUUCAUUCGGUUGGAAAAAGCAAUGUAUUUCUGUGUGGUCAUAGGGAAAAUGAUAAAGAGUAGGAAUAUUUUCAACCUGACUAGAGAAUAUUAAAUGAUCCUACUUAGUAAAUUGUAGACUCUGUAGAUAACUCAUUUUUGUGACUUUAGUUUCAGUCUUAGAUGCUUCCUAGAAACUGGCAUAUUACCAGGCAUCUUACUAUAUUUUUAUUAUUUGUUUAAAAAAAUCUAGUGCUUUUAAUUUGAUGUAUGUGAGCAAAAAGAAGAGAUUAUGAGUAUCAUUGUUAAUUAUAGGGAGAACAUAAUAUUUUCUAAUUCCUUUUAAUUUUGGAAAUGAUUUUUAAAGGUGUAAUCCUUAAAAAAUAUUCUAGGGAGGGAUGCCUGAGGGGUUCAGUGACUGUUCAACAGACCCGUGAGCGUCUGCCUUCCGCUCAGGGCGUGAUCCUGGGGUCCGGGAUCGAGUCCCGCAUGUCGGGCUCCCUGCAGGGAGCCUGCUUCUCCCUCUGCCUGUGUCUCUGCCUCUCUUGCUCGCUCUCUGUGUGUCUCUCAUGAAUAGAUAAAUAAAAAAAUUGUUCUGGGGAAAGUUUACAUGUUGUCAUCUCUGAAGGAAAUUGAAUGGACUGUUGCUUUUGGGUCCUCUUCAGUCUCAUCUAUCAUUUUUAGGAUGUUAUGUUCAGUUUGGGAAGUAUUAAUGAAAAAAAUAAGGAAAAAAGUAUUUCAACAAACUUACCCUGUUUUUAUUUGUGGAUUGAAGUUUGAUUAGAGGAAGGCAUUGGACUUUUUCUGCUGUAGGUUUCUCAUUUGAUUUUAUAGUCAUUGUAAUCCUUCAGUAUGUUUUUACUUAUUCAUUGUGUAUGAAAUGCAUUAACAAUAUAGCCCCACCAUCCAUUGAUGUUGUGUGGGUUAAUGAAUAGUUGUAAAGCGUACCAAAAAUACAAAGCAAUCUAGCUGUUGGGUGUUAUUAUGUUGAAUUGUUGGUGUAUUGCAUGCAAACCUAUCCUGUUCAACUGGUUUUAGUUUCUAAGUUAGUUUGUUGCUUCAACUUGUCCACAGAAGCAGAGCCGAAUGGUUUAGCUAAUCAGUAGAGCAGUCAGAACUGAAUUCCAGUCUGCCUUUCUAUUCACUUUGUAGGUCCCUGAACAUCUAUUUUUUAAAUGGCUCUGGGACUUAGCUUCUCUGACUAGAAGAUGAAGCCUGUUCCUUACGCUCAGUCUUCCAAGAUUUUUUGAGAAGUCUCACGUGCAGAUUUCUGUGGGCUUUUCUCAAAUGCAAUGGCUUUAUAGAAUUAGAACUGUUUUCUGGUAUUCUUUCCUGAUAGCUUUUGACUAAACGCAACAAAGAAGCAGAUGCAUUUAUAAUGUGGCUUCUUUACGCAAAGUAUAAUUUUAUACUGUUUUGUAAUUAUAUAUUUGUAUAAUUUAUAGACAGUAAUGGUAUUUUUUUAAAGUUUGGGAUGCUUCAGUAUUAUUUUUCUUCAUAUACUACCUUGAGAAAAUAAAAUAAUCUUUAUCUUAUAUUAAACUUAUAAAUAAGUUGCUCUUUUGUACAUGUUUAAUAUUACUUUUGGCUGAGCUGUGUAGAAAGGGAUUCCCUUAACCUUUUUUUACGAUUAUAAAAAUAAUGUGUUCAUUUUAGAAAAUGCAAAGAAGUGUAAAGACAAAAAAUGAACUCAGAUAACUAUAAAGUUAACAUUUUAGUGAAAACUAGAGAAUUUUUUUACAUCUAUAUUUACUUUAUUCCCUUCUCUGUCAUUGAGAUAAUUCUAUAUGGAUGUAUUAUUGCUCUGAUACUGCUCUUAAACAUUGUGUGUGUGUGUGUAUGUGUGUGUGUGUGUGUGUGUAUAUACAUAUAUAUAUUUAUAUGACGAUUUUAUUUAUUUGUUUAUUUGAGAGAGAGGUGCGAAAGAGAGCGUGAGCAGUAGGCAGGGGGAGAAGCAGCUGUGGGGCUGGAUCCCAGGGCCCUGAGAUCAUGACCUGAGCUGAAGGCAGACACUUAGCUGACUGAGCCACACAGGCACCCCUUAAACAUAAUAUAUUUCAAGUAUCUUUAACGUUUUAAAAUGGGAAAUCUUUCAAAUUGAAGUUGAAAGUAGUAGUAUUAGUGAUAUUACUGUAAUCUGAAUGAUCAAAAUCUGAAUGCUAAGUAACUGUAUUAGAUGCUUCCUGAUAAUUACAGAAAAAAAUAACUAAACGAUAAAGUUUUUUUAAUCUAUGAAAAGCCCACAGCUAAUCAUUGAGUUUAAUAUUUAAUUACUACAUACAUUGCUCUGUUUCUCACAAAAUCCCUUUUUUUUUUAAAUAAAAAACAGACACGUGAGUUGGAUUUAGCACUCUUCUGAAGUCAAGUAUAUGACAGAUCAAAAUGGGAAAUAAUUCACCACAUUUAAAUUAUUUGUUAUAUCACCAAAAAGAAUGUGAAUCCAUUUUGAAUGGAGAUCUCAGAUUCCAUAUAAUGCUUUACUUGAGACUUGGUACUCCUUGUCAGAACCAAACUAGCGACUGUUUCUCAUGUGUCUGUUCUAGCACAAGCACGAUUUUUCUUGGGUUCAAGUGGUCCUCAAAAGCCCAAAGCAGUCUGGAACCAAGCCAGGCAUUUGAUAUUUUCAAAUCUAUGUUGAGGAAAGUCAAAGUGUCCAUCUGCCUGGCUCAGAUAUUGCCAAAAAAGGCCUGGAUUCUGUGCUAAAGAACAUGCCAAAAAAUUGACUCUGGCCUCCAGGAAACUGAUAUCUACCUCACAUAAUAAUCUCUGUUCUCUGAGUUUUGUGAAGAAAAGGCUAUAACUUUUAAAUCAAAGAGGUAAUGAACUAUAGUGUUAUUGAGAGAGGAUUAAAUUAAUGCACAUAAAAAACUUAGUUGUGCUUAAUAAUCAGCACGUAGUAAACCUUCAGAGUUGGCUAUCGUUAUUAUUAAUAUUGCUUUAUUACAUUCACCAUGUUUAAAAAACAGCAGAGUGAACUCUGUCAAUUCUAGAUUAAUACACGUCAGCUUCCCUGCCGUGAUCUGGGGACUGGCAACCCACUGGUAAUCAGAAGACUUGCACGUUGUCACAGAUCAACCUUUUCUAACAGGUGAUUCUAAGGUACAGGUAGGACCAAUAUGCUUGAUGCAAAAGUCUACCUCCUGUCCUGUCAAGAGUGGCCGAGGCCAAGCCAGAAUUACUCUGUGCCGUAUUGCCAGAUACACAGUAAUGGUACUGCUCGGAACUGAGCUGAAUGGAAGCUAUUUUCAAAAAGCAAAUGCAAAGAUGGUGACUCUGGGGAUUCCCUGAAGCAGCCAUUGUCCAGUUCUAGCAGGUAUGUAAUCCUCUGGGUCUUUUGUAGGUAUUGAGCUCUAGCCACAAAUGACCAGUAAAGUGAAAAUAAGACUGGGGCCUAUAGAAAGACAUGACCACUCAAUUUUACAUUGGUUGCACAUUGACAUUUUUGAAAGCAUGCCAAAUAUAACAUGCACAUACACAGCCCAAGUCACAUAAUCUCCCUGGGCUUCUAUAUGGUCAUCUGUAACAUGAGUAUAACAGUGCCAGCCUAAUAGGGUGCUUGAGUGUUGACCUAGAAUUCAAACCCACCUCUGUCUGACUUAAAAGUCUGUGUUCUUUUUCUCUUUUAACUAAGCUAUGCUGCACUGUCAAAGCAGAUAGCAGUAGCAGAAAUGAAAUAAAGCAUUCAGUGGAUACAGAACACUUUUUAGGUUCUGUUUUUGUCACCUUCCCUAGCAUCCCCCAGGAAGCCCUUAUAUUGUCCUUUUCAGCACUCAUUCUGAAUUGCACAGUGACUCUGGUUUGAUUUCAGUAGCUACUGGGAAAAUCAAAAUUAGAUCAAAGAGUGUUUCUCAGAGGUAGAUAUGGAUGUGGGGUAAGGGUGGGGAGAGGAAAUAACGGUGGAAAUUGGAUGAGACUAAACAGGUAGACACCCAUGAUAAAUGUAAAGCAGAACUAACUGUAAGACUGUCAAAUCAGGGAUCCCUGGGUGGCGCAGCGGUUUGGCGCCUGCCUUUGACCCAGGGCGCGAUCCUGGAGACCCGGGAUCGAAUUCCAUGUCGGGCUCCCGGUGCAUGGAGCCUGCUUCUCCCUCUGCCUGUGUCUCUGCCUCUCUCUCUCUCUCUCUCUCUCUCUCUCUGUGUGACUAUCAUAAAUUAAAAAAAAAAAAAAAAAAAAAAAA